This 263-nucleotide ribosomal RNA is filed under the name uncultured bacterium. RNAcentral's name for it is "partial 16S ribosomal RNA". It matches the Rfam family "Bacterial small subunit ribosomal RNA", at positions 91 to 354 of the family's 1533-position model. The record is from RNAcentral.
CUUAGUGGCGGACGGGUGAGUAACGCGUGGGUAACCUGCCUUGCACUGGGGGAUAACACUUAGAAAUAGGUGCUAAUACCGCAUAAGCGCACGGUCCUGCAUGGGACAGUGUGAAAAACUCCGGUGGUGCAAGAUGGACCCGCGCCUGAUUAGCUGGUUGGCGGGGUAAAGGCCCACCAAGGCGACGAUCAGUAGCCGGCCUGAGAGGGUGGACGGCCACAUUGGGACUGAGACACGGCCCAAACUCCUACGGGAGGCAGCAG